Molecule: ribosomal RNA, 759 nt
Filed under: uncultured bacterium
Lineage: Bacteria
Description: bacterial SSU rRNA
Rfam family: Bacterial small subunit ribosomal RNA
Source: RNAcentral
GAACGUUAGCGGGAGGCUUAACACAUGCAAGUCGAGCGAGAACGUCACUUCGGUGGCUAGUACAGCGGCGGACGGGUGAGUAACACGUGGAUAAUCUGCCCUUUGGCGGGGGACAACAGCUCGAAAGGGUUGCUAAUACCGCAUAAGUCAUCAAGCCCUUUGGGGUUUGGUGGGAAAGAUGGCCUCUUCUUGAAAGCUAUCACCAGAGGAUGAGUCCGCGUAGCAUCAGCUUGUUGGUGGGGUAAUGGCCUACCAAGGCAAAGACGCUUAGCUGGUCUGAGAGGAUGAUCAGCCACACUGGGACUGAGAUACGGCCCAGACUCCUACGGGAGGCAGCAGUGGGGAAUAUUAGACAAUGGGCGCAAGCCUGAUCUAGCCAUCCCGCGUGAGUGAUGAAGGCUUUCGGGUCGUAAAGCUCUGUGGGGAGAGACGAAACGUCAACGGAACAAUACCCGUUGAUCUGACGGUAUCUCUUUAGCAAGCACCGGCUAACUCCGUGCCAGCAGCCGCGGUAAUACGGAGGGUGCAAACGUUGCUCGGAAUUAUUGGGCGUAAAGCGCACGUAGGCGGCUUGAUAAGUCGGAUGUGAAAGCCCUCGGCUCAACCGGGGAAGUGCAUUCGAAACUGUCAGGCUUGAGUAUGGGAGAGGAUUGUGGAAUUCCCGGUGUAGAGGUGAAAUUCGUAGAUAUCGGGAGGAACACCAGAGGCGAAGGCGACAAUCUGGACCAAUACUGACGCUGAGGUGCGAAAGCGUGGGGA